Molecule: long non-coding RNA, 1180 nt
Organism: Misgurnus anguillicaudatus (oriental weatherfish)
Lineage: Eukaryota; Metazoa; Chordata; Actinopteri; Cypriniformes; Cobitidae
Source: RefSeq, a predicted model, not a curated record
CGUAGGUUCGAGGACUACAAAAAACACUCGGAUUGUAGGCAACAGUUUACUUCCUGGGAUUAGUGACGUAGAGAAGACCAACAUUAUCAUAGUUCAGCCCUCUCUGCUUCGCUUGGGUACGCCCUCAAAGACGGGGGUGGAGAGCGCUGAGUCAGAAGAGAGCUAAAAUGGCGGAGGUUGGGAGUCCCUGCUUUGACCCUGUUUGCAAACUCUUGUUUCAUCAUUUAAGUGAUUAAAUCUCUCGAGUAGACGCUGUCUCUUUAGAUGCAAGGGCAAAAUAGCACUUUAUGGACUUACACAGAGGACAUCAUGUUUAAUACGGUUCCGGAAAAAUCCAGUCAGAAGUUGUUCACGGAGUUUUCACAAUAACUGCUUCUUAUGAACCGAAGCUGGAUUUGCGCGACGUUUCCUCUUGAAAGUUGGAUUACCGUGCACUUCUGGAUCACAGGCUAUUCGCAGCUGGACACAUCCUUCUACACUGUAUGCAAACAUGCAACAUCAUUACACACAGUACAAGGCAUAUGAGGAGCAAAGGAACCCAGGCAGUAGCAUCGUUUCACAAUGUUUCAAUCACCAUCAUCAGUGGAUGCCUUUGCCGUCCGUAGCCUGAGAUUUCAGAUUUGCAGCAAAAAAUGUGACUUUCCCAUUUAUUGGAAUGCUGUGCAGGUUAUACCUUACAGCCGUCCGUUACAAUGUCACCAAGCCGUAACAAAAGCAGGAGAGGGAAAGUACAAGGCUAUGUUCCCAAAACACACAAGUGACAUACUUUAUGUGGAUGAUGUGAUCAGGCUUGUGUUUGAUGAGGUAUUUGAAGAUAAGCUGAAGGAAACCCCGAUUCCAAUGGACCUGGCAUCACAGUUUGAGAGACCUUCAAAGGAGGACGUGAUUGCAUGCCAUCUUCAGUGCAGGGGUCGUCGGAAGCCAACAUUCCGAUCAGGAAGCUCCAAGCAUAUCUGGAGAACAACACACGACAGGAUGAUAACCCUAAAGUGUCGUCUUAAAUAGCACCAGCUGACAAAGCUUUGAUAUGCCAUUUAUCUGAAUAGAUAGCUGUAAGAAGUGAAUUGAACAAUUUUUGAGAGAAGAGCACAAUAUGGUUACUAAAGUAUGUUUAUUUGUAUAUUGUUUAACAUUUAAAUAUAUAUUUGUAAUAAAUAAAAAAACUUUUGACUGACUACUA